RNAcentral lists this transfer RNA (72 nucleotides) under Ornithorhynchus anatinus (platypus). It matches the Rfam family "tRNA". From Rfam's summary of the family: Transfer RNA (tRNA) molecules are approximately 80 nucleotides in length. The record is from Rfam by way of RNAcentral. Lineage: Eukaryota; Metazoa; Chordata; Mammalia; Monotremata; Ornithorhynchidae.
GGCAUUGUGGCUUAAUGGAAAGAACACGGACCUGUGUGUCAGAGGACCUGGAUUCUAAUUCCAGCUCUGCCA